AGGAGGUGUCCUGUUUUGGGGCUCCCCCAGGCCCCCUGCUCCCCGGGCUGGGGGAUCUGUGAGGCUCCUGUGUCCGUUCG
Molecule: small RNA, 80 nt
Filed under: Tupaia belangeri chinensis (Chinese tree shrew)
Lineage: Eukaryota; Metazoa; Chordata; Mammalia; Scandentia; Tupaiidae
Description: Tupaia chinensis (Chinese tree shrew) NoRC associated RNA, pRNA
Rfam family: NoRC associated RNA, pRNA
Source: Rfam by way of RNAcentral